This is a long non-coding RNA of Fukomys damarensis (Damara mole-rat), 1176 nucleotides long. RefSeq lists it as uncharacterized. The record is from RefSeq and is a predicted model, not a curated record. Lineage: Eukaryota; Metazoa; Chordata; Mammalia; Rodentia; Bathyergidae. The transcript is spliced from 3 exons.
UCCCACGUUUCUUGAGUUGUAAUCUCUUUCCAGGAUCCGCCGGAAGCUAGAAAUCCUUCUCCAGGUGGUAGGGUAGGGCAGGGCACAGAAGGACUGAGACUUGGAAAACUGGAACCCCAAGGGGUUCAUGGGAUCCCUGAAACUCAUCCACAGUCAUCCCAGGAUGGAUCUGUGAGGUCCAGGUUAAGAAUUAAUUGUCCCAGCUCUAAAGCCCUGAAUUGAGACUCCACACAGGCUGUCAAAAUGGAAAGCACACACGGCCACUUGGGGACAUCUGUCUGCAGAAGAAAUCAGGCAGACAGCUGUGUGAAUCAUAGCACUGACAGCAGCAGGCAACUCGCUCAAGCUCCACAGGUGCUAAACAAAUGCACCAAAGUCGAGAUGGUAAGACCCUGAUAAGAAAAUCAAGCUAUUCCCAGUGAAGACACCAGAGCAAUCUGUGUUCCUUCCAAGCCUGUUUCAAACUGAAGAGUCUCUGCCGGUUCUGUCUGCAGACAGAGAGGGGUCUGGUCAGACACCUGGGUCUCCCUGCCCCUGUGUCACAAAGGGUUGUCUGCUGCAGAGAAUGCCACCCAUCUGCAAGCAAGUGGCCUUUCUCAUCAUGUCUUUGCGGAACUGACACACAACUCUGUCACACUGGGCAUUCUAAGCUAACAGGAGCCAACUGCUAUUUUUUGGAACACGAGCAGCUGCUGUUAGAGAACACAAUCAUUGUCACAUUUCUUAAGUUUUCCAGAAAACCCUUUGAAUCCUCACAUCGUGUAGCUGGAAGCCAACUGAAAUCCUAAGAAAACAGUUUUGCCUUUGUGGAAGAGCCAGAAGUCUCGUGCUGCCAGAUAUCUUGCUAAGUUGGAUGAGAACGCGCCAUGAUGUUUUUAUCAGUUGUUUUUCCUUACUUUCACCACACCUUAUAAAGGCACUCACAAAAGACUUCCAGAACUGCUUCGCUGAAAUUGUGUCAUGCCUGAGACCGUUAAACACAACAACAAAGCCAGGUGUGGAGGUGCACGGCUGCAAUCCCAGCACUCGGGGAAGAUGAAGCAAGAGGAUCUGCAGUUCAAGGCCUGCCGGAGCUACCUAGCAAGAACAUAUCACAGAAUGACACAAUAGUAGUCAUGGCAAUAAUGAAUAUUCUAUCGAGUCUCUACUUCUGAUUAGAAUUUCUGGGUAGUAGGA